AUUCUUUUAGUAUUAACUAGUACAGCUGACUUCCAAUCAGCUAG
This 44-nucleotide transfer RNA is filed under the name Bos primigenius (aurochs). RNAcentral's name for it is "partial tRNA-Gly". RNAcentral also lists the same sequence under 1 other name. Lineage: Eukaryota; Metazoa; Chordata; Mammalia; Artiodactyla; Bovidae. The record is from RNAcentral.